ACCUAGAUACAUAGUUGUACA
This 21-nucleotide small nuclear RNA is filed under the name Arabidopsis thaliana (thale cress). Its description in RNAcentral is "snRNA_15188". Lineage: Eukaryota; Viridiplantae; Streptophyta; Magnoliopsida; Brassicales; Brassicaceae. The record is from RNAcentral.